Molecule: non-coding RNA, 450 nt
Organism: Danio aesculapii
Lineage: Eukaryota; Metazoa; Chordata; Actinopteri; Cypriniformes; Danionidae
Source: the annotation of a RefSeq genome assembly
AUGCUUUUGCCCUGUCUGUUCAUGCUUUUCAAUUACUUUGGUGAGUCUACUGGGUAUAAAAUCAAAGCAGAUAAUGACACCACACUGUUAAUGGAGGAUUCGAAUAUAACACUCUCAUGCACAUAUGAAGGCUCCAUUGACAGCUUGUAUUGGUUCCAACAAAAAACUGGAUCAAGACCUGAGUUUCUCAUAAUGAUUGAUGAAGCUUCUGAAUACGUGACAAAAGCCAUUCCACCUCAUCCACGCCUGUCAAUCCAACUUCACAAAGCACAAAAACGUGUUCGUCUAGAGAUGUCGUCUGCAGCCGUUACAGAUUCUGCUCUUUACUUUUGUGCUUUGAGGCCCACAUUCUACAAUAAAAACAGAACGACUAGAGGUGAUGAGGAGACAGAGGAGAUGCUGGCGCUAAUGAGCCCUUUUCACAAUCGCUUCACUUUCACCUUUCACUAA